Molecule: ribosomal RNA, 847 nt
Filed under: Staphylococcus aureus
Lineage: Bacteria; Bacillati; Bacillota; Bacilli; Caryophanales; Staphylococcaceae
Description: partial 23S ribosomal RNA
Rfam family: Bacterial large subunit ribosomal RNA
Source: RNAcentral
CCCGGAAGGGGAGUGAAAUAGAACCUGAAACCGUGUGCUUACAAGUAGUCAGAGCCCGUUAAUGGGUGAUGGCGUGCCUUUUGUAGAAUGAACCGGCGAGUUACGAUUUGAUGCAAGGUUAAGCAGUAAAUGUGGAGCCGUAGCGAAAGCGAGUCUGAAUAGGGCGUUUAGUAUUUGGUCGUAGACCCGAAACCAGGUGAUCUACCCUUGGUCAGGUUGAAGUUCAGGUAACACUGAAUGGAGGACCGAACCGACUUACGUUGAAAAGUGAGCGGAUGAACUGAGGGUAGCGGAGAAAUUCCAAUCGAACCUGGAGAUAGCUGGUUCUCUCCGAAAUAGCUUUAGGGCUAGCCUCAAGUGAUGAUUAUUGGAGGUAGAGCACUGUUUGGACGAGGGGCCCCUCUCGGGUUACCGAAUUCAGACAAACUCCGAAUGCCAAUUAAUUUAACUUGGGAGUCAGAACAUGGGUGAUAAGGUCCGUGUUCGAAAGGGAAACAGCCCAGACCACCAGCUAAGGUCCCAAAAUAUAUGUUAAGUGGAAAAGGAUGUGGCGUUGCCCAGACAACUAGGAUGUUGGCUUAGAAGCAGCCAUCAUUUAAAGAGUGCGUAAUAGCUCACUAGUCGAGUGACACUGCGCCGAAAAUGUACCGGGGCUAAACAUAUUACCGAAGCUGUGGAUUGUCCUUUGGACAAUGGUAGGAGAGCGUUCUAAGGGCGUUGAAGCAUGAUCGUAAGGACAUGUGGAGCGCUUAGAAGUGAGAAUGCCGGUGUGAGUAGCGAAAGACGGGUGAGAAUCCCGUCCACCGAUUGACUAAGGUUUCCAGAGGAAGGCUCGUCCGCUCUGGGU